UUAUUGCACCUUAUUGAGGUAGGAUUCAGGCCUACCUCUUCUGUUCAUCAGUUAGCCCCUUAUUGAGGUAGGAUCCAGGCCUACCUCUUCUGUUCAUCAGUUAGCCCCUUAUUGAGGUAGGAUCCAGGCCUACCUCUUCUGUUCAUCAGUUAGCCCCUUAUUGAAGUAGGAUACAUGACUACCUCUUCCGUUCAUCAGUUAGCCCCUUAUUGAGGUAGGAUACAAGACUACCUCUUCCGUUCAUCAGUUAGCCCCUUAUUGAGGUAGGAUCCAGGCCUACCUCUUCCGUUCAUCAGUUAGCCCCUAUUGAGGUAGGAUCCAGGCCUACCUCUUCCGUUCAUCAGUUAGCCCCUUAUUGAGGUAGGAUACAAGACUACCUCUUCCGUUCAUC
This is a long non-coding RNA of Oncorhynchus tshawytscha (Chinook salmon), 391 nucleotides long. NCBI's taxonomy places the organism in Eukaryota, Metazoa, Chordata, Actinopteri, Salmoniformes, Salmonidae. The record is from Ensembl.